UUUUUAUAAGGAUAACUACGGAAAAGCUGUAGCUAAUAUUUGCUAUAGUACUCUUGAUUAACUUCUUGGGUGCGUAUUUGUCAAGUCUUUUAAGAAGAAAGUUUUAAUAGCUUUAUGAAUAAUAACAACGAAGUGUGAGACAUAAACGAAUUCGUCCAUUUUUUAGUGUGUAUCAAUCGAGUUUCUGACCUAUCAGCUUUUGAUGUUAGGGUAUUGGCUUAACAUGGCUAUAACGGGUAACCUGGAAUUAGAGUUCGAAACGGGAGAGGGAGCCUGAUAAAUAGUUAUCACAUCUAAGGAAGGCAGCAGACGCGUAAAUUACCCAAUUGUAAACAAGAGAGCUAGUGACAAGAAAUAACAAUACUAGGCCAAUCUGCUUUGUAAUUAGAAUGCUGGGAAUUUAAAACCUUCCCAAAAUUCAAUUGGAGGGCAAGUCUGGUGCCAGCAGUCUCGGUAAUUCGAGCUCCACUAGCGUAWGUUAAAAUUGUUGCAGUUAAAACGCUCGUAGUUGAAUUUCAAAGAAUCGAUAUUUUAAGUAACGCUUUGUAGCUUAAUCCACAUAACUGAUACUACGUAUCGAAUUUGUGCGCAUUUUGCUACUUAUGUGUUCUUUUAAUUAAAAUGAUUCUUUUUAAGAUCUUUCUGUUUUGUUUCGGCAUCUUAGGAGAUCUUGUUACUUUGAGUAAAUUAGAGUGUUCAAAGCAAACAAAUUAUAGCAUCUUUAUGUGUUUGAAUACUACAGCAUGGAAUAACAAAAUUGAACAAGUCAGAAUUUUGUUCUUUUUUCUUAUUUUGGCUUAGUUACGAUUAAUAGGAGUAGCUUGGGGGCAUUUUUAUUCAGAUGUCAGAGGUGAAAUUCUUAGAUUUUCUGGAGACAAACAGCUGCGAAAGCAUUUGCCUAAAAUACUUCCAUUAAUCAAGAACGAAAGUUAAGGGAGUGAAGACGAUCGGAUACCGUCGUAAUCUUAACCAUAAACUAUGCCGACUAGGCUUUGGAUGAAAGAUUUUAAAGUAAGAGCUUUUUCUCUGAGGAGUUAAAAAUCUUAGAUUGCUUCCUUCAGUGCCUUAUGAGAAAUCAAAGUCUUUGGGUUCUGGGGCGAGUAUUCGCGCAAGCGAGAAAGUUAAAAGAAUUGACGGAAGGGCACCACCAGGCGUGGAGCUUGCGGCUUAAUUUGACUCAACACGGGAAAACUCACUAGUUUAAGACAAGAGUAGGAUUGACAGAUUAAUAGCUCUUUCUUGAUUUCUUGGAUGGUGAUGCAUGGCCGUUUUUAGUUCGUGAAUAUGAUUUGUCUGGUUAAUUCCGAUAACGAACGAGAUCUUAACCUGCUAAUUAGCGGCAAAUACGAUAUAUUCUUAUGUGGAAUUGAAUAUAGUUGAUUUGCUCAUUUUGAAGAAAAUAUUGGGAUACGUAAAUGUAUCCCUUUCCCUUUUCUACUUAAUUUGCUUAUCAUACUAUUUCUUUUUCGCGUAAGAAUGUAUUUGCUUGAUUGUAAAGCUUCUUAGAGGCACCUUGUGU
RNAcentral lists this ribosomal RNA (1519 nucleotides) under Plasmodium cf. cynomolgi. Its description in RNAcentral is "SSU rRNA". It matches the Rfam family "Eukaryotic small subunit ribosomal RNA", at positions 133 to 1446 of the family's 1831-position model. Lineage: Eukaryota; Apicomplexa; Aconoidasida; Haemosporida; Plasmodiidae. The record is from RNAcentral.